This 489-nucleotide ribosomal RNA is filed under the name uncultured bacterium. Its description in RNAcentral is "partial 16S ribosomal RNA". It matches the Rfam family "Bacterial small subunit ribosomal RNA", at positions 29 to 507 of the family's 1533-position model. The record is from RNAcentral.
AUGAACGCUAGCUACAGGCUUAACACAUGCAAGUCGAGGGGCAGCAUGGUCUUAGCUUGCUAAGGCCGAUGGCGACCGGCGCACGGGUGAGUAACACGUAUCCAACCUGCCGUCUACUCUUGGACAGCCUUCUGAAAGGAAGAUUAAUACAAGAUGGCAUCAUGAGUCCGCAUGUUCACAUGAUUAAAGGUAUUCCGGUAGACGAUGGGGAUGCGUUCCAUUAGAUAGUAGGCGGGGUAACGGCCCACCUAGUCUUCGAUGGAUAGGGGUUCUGAGAGGAAGGUCCCCCACAUUGGAACUGAGACACGGUCCAAACUCCUACGGGAGGCAGCAGUGAGGAAUAUUGGUCAAUGGGCGCAGGCCUGAACCAGCCAAGUAGCGUGAAGGAGGACUGCCCUAUGGGUUGUAAACUUCUUUUAUAAAGGAAUAAAGUCGGGUAUGGAUACCCGUUUGCAUGUACUUUAUGAAUAAGGAUCGGCUAACUCCGUG